RNAcentral lists this unclassified non-coding RNA (3544 nucleotides) under Neodiprion pinetum (white pine sawfly). Its description in RNAcentral is "lipopolysaccharide-induced tumor necrosis factor- alpha factor homolog, transcript variant X1". Lineage: Eukaryota; Metazoa; Arthropoda; Insecta; Hymenoptera; Diprionidae. The record is from RNAcentral.
GAGUCUGAAAGUCAGCUAUCGCGUAGGCCGCGUUCUCGCCUUGCGGCGACUCAUUGUCGCCAGUCAGUCAGUGUUGGCGCUCCGUAUCGUCGACAUCCAUCCAGUCAUUCGUCGAUCGAGCAAGUCCUGCGAUCCGUUCGUCUCUGCAUUUAACGACGCGCCGUCAUGUACCCCGGGAAUAACAACUACCAGUACAACCCGCAGUACGGCAAUCAGCCGCCUCCCCCGCAAGGCUACCCGAUGUACGGACCUCCGCCGCCUUAUGGUGCCCCGCCAAUUACGCAGCAGCCACCCCCAGGUACGACGGUCUACGUCGUUCCCGCCCAGGAACAGCAACGGUCAACGGGAAUGAGUGCGGAGUCGGCUCUUUGCUGCGGGUGCUGUUUAGGACUCUGUCUCGGGUGCGGACCUUGCGACCUCUGUUGCUGCUAGUUCCAAAUCACCGGGGGUAACAAGUGGUUGCCAACGAUGCGAUCCGGGCGAUGAUUAUACCGAUUUCCAAUGAACGACGAUGGAUUUAUCGACGCCUUGGGAAAACCGGAGCGGAUGUUGACUGAUUGCCUUACGCCGUGUAGGGGAAAAAGUCGUCAAGAACAGUUGGUGGAAUCUUGUCGGUGUGUGCGAAUGUGUGUCAGUGUGGGUGAGUGUGCGCAGAGAUAAUGGAUUCUUAAGAUAUGUGAAACCUGUUGUAUAGAUAAAAGAAAUAAAAUUUUGAACCUCGAGUCUGGCGCGAUGAGGCACAGUUCGGGCUAAUCGUGAAUAACAAGACGCUUAAGUGGUCGGGCACGUCGGUAAAGUAAUUAAAUAUCAUAAUUGUGUAAAUAUUAGGUAACGGUUGAAGGUGCUCAGUAAAAUAAUUAACAGAUAAACGUGCCAGUUAUACUUUAAUUUAUUUAUUAUCCUCUCUCUCUCUCUCUCUCUCUCUCUCUUUCUUUCUUUCUUUCUCUGGAUCCCACCAAUCCAUGCGAUUUCGAAAUAUAACAUAACAUCAUCCUGAUCGAACUGCGCUGAAAUGCGUUUUCACCUAAUAUCGUGAAUCGCCAAAACGUAAAGGCCUUCGAUCGAUUAUAUUCAAGCUCUCCUCCGUCAUUAUCUCAGUUCGUGUGAUUGGGAAUAUUUUUUUCCAUGUUCAAUUGCAAUUCAGGAUACCAUACAACGGUACGAGCCUCUGGUUUAUUGUUGUUGUUGUAGAAACAACGUGCGAACUAAAAAUUAGUACUUGAGUCGUAAAGAGGUUCGUUCUUUCGCUAUUGUUUGUAUACCUACCUAUACGAGACCGUUACAAAAGAUAGCAUUCGCUCACGAGUUAUAUCACCAACGACUUCGCUGCGUUAACGUACCGUAUACAAAAUUCCGAGAGCUUAAUGGCGGCUGAAUUUGCGCGACGAUAACGAAUCGCGAUAAUGAUCGAUAGCAUCGAUUCGAAAAACGGUAUCACGGGCCUUGCGAUCCGAUAUUUUAUACUCCUCUUACAGGUACGUCACUGACUGAGAUACGAAACACAUGUUGUCACACAGUUGCUGCAGGAAGCUCACGGAUUCCGCAGUAGACGAUAAAACGUUGGCUGGUGAACACUGGGUGGUAAUUUAUUUCCGAACCGAGGAGGACCGGAUACCAUCACCUCCUACACUUUGACGAUACGCCGAGUCACGUUAUGAUCAACAAGGAGAGAGAGGCAACGUCAGCGGCUGGCAGAUCUGUGCCAAAUAGUGCAAAUCGUACGGACGAUCCGCCGCCACCUUACAGCCUCUACAAACCGUCAAUGGCGGCCGAACCACCCCCGCUGCCCCUCGAACCUCCAGCUUUGACUUCGGAGCAACCUCCAGCUGUAAUAACCGAGGUUAUACCUGGUCCUGGUUCACAAACGGAAAACUCUUCGAACUACCACUUGACGUCGGGAGAGAGCAUCAAGGCUGCCUGCUGUAUAGUGUUAUGCUGGUUCUGGAUCCCGUUCGCCUUCUGCAUCGACUGUUGUGCCAGAACUUACCCACAGUUAAGGCCCAAACGGUAUCGGUAGAGAAAAGGCCGUCUUUCGCUCCUGAACUCACCUUCAAGAGGACGAAUUGCAACGUUUAAGAUGUCAAGCUCGUUUUUAAGAACCAAGUGAGCCAGGGCAAAGCCUAGGCGUGGAAUGCUGUUUUUAGUUUGGCCAAAAUACGCGUGCGCGUGAUUGGGACCAUGUGAAAGCGAUCGCUGCAAGUUUACAGUGAGAACUAUGAUAUUGCAUAAAUGCAGAUGAAUUCACUCUAUGCUAAAUUGCCCGUACAGCAAUUACCAAAUAAUCAAUCGGAAACGUAUGAAUAACGCUGCGGGCACCAGUCGACCGGUGUAAUUUUAAAAUUUGGGAGUAGCACAAAUUCACUCUUAACGUCGUAACUAUUUUCCGAACAAGUCAAUUUCUUACGCACCAUUAGACUUGAGUCAGUUCAUUGAUCACCAGCAAUUCGAACGUGCCAUACUCAACAAGUGACAAUUUUUCAGUUGAAUAAUUUUACUGUCGCUACGCACGAUCGAAGUUGAUGGGAUUUUUUGAACAUUCUGAAAUUAUUGUAAAACUACGACGUUUGAUGUGAAAUCGAAUACCGGCUUUGAAAUUUUAUCGGCAUCCGGAAUAUGUCGUCGAAAAAAUGUUAUUCUUCAUUUUUGUGUAAGGAUAACGAAUUACCGGUGAUGAGUAAAUUCAAAUAGUUUUUCGGAAAUCAAUUUUUUUCCUUUUUGCCAAGGAAAUACGGAACUUCGCAAUAAUUCGUUUGGUACAAGACAGCUGAAUCUGUUUUCUCUCCACUUACCAGCAUUAUCUCGUAUUUAUACCGAUCCCCUUGAGCACGUUUCAAUAGUAUUAUCUUAAUCUUGGUUUCCAAUUUUUAUGGUCUAUACCUCAGCUGUUAACUGCGGCUGAUUACACCUGACAUAUUUUACUGUGCUAUACACACACAUAAUAAGUAUAAUCAUAUACCUAGUCACAUGUUCUAAUUAACAAGACAUUUAUAAUACAUACUGUUUUCAAUCAAUACGACUGUCGCUGCUUCGAUUUACAGUGUGUGAGUGUCCCACUGAAAAAAACUGGGACAUAGUUCGGCUAGUAUUGUAUGAGGAAAAAACUGAAUCACCAUAAGUGAACCUUUACACGAUACUCGUGACGUACCAAGACGCAGUUACGUAUCCUUGUCACGUGUCGUGAAGCGUGGCUUCCCACAAAGGCGAAUCAUAUCCGGACCUCACUUCCGCACAACGAUCGACUUAACGAGAACCUACGGUUUCUUUUUCUUUAUACAUUUUCACGUUGUGCCAUGUGCGUAUCAAUAUGAAUACGGUUUCAAUACGUAAGGAUCUGCGGCUGCUUGUGCUAUAAAUAAUUCCAGCCAAACGUAAGCAGCUGCUGCUUGUAUCAUAUUAUAUACAAAUGACAUCACACGGUAGUUCGGAAACGUUACGAUUUCGUUCGUUACUUUGUAAUUUUUAAUCAAUAAUCAAAACUUCAAUCUUUUACAUACGUUAAAAAUCGGCAAAUAAACAAAAACGCCAAGUCUACCGCUUUAACUGU